GUGCUCGCGUCGGCAGCACAUAUACUAAAAUUGGAAUGAUACAGAGAAGAUUAGCAUGGCCCCUGCACAAGGAUGACACGCAAAUUCAUGAAGCAUUCCAUAUUUUA
RNAcentral lists this small nuclear RNA (107 nucleotides) under Myotis brandtii (Brandt's bat). Lineage: Eukaryota; Metazoa; Chordata; Mammalia; Chiroptera; Vespertilionidae. The record is from RNAcentral.